This 250-nucleotide ribosomal RNA is filed under the name uncultured bacterium. RNAcentral's name for it is "partial 16S ribosomal RNA". It matches the Rfam family "Bacterial small subunit ribosomal RNA", at positions 524 to 773 of the family's 1533-position model. The record is from RNAcentral.
UACGUAGGUGGCAAGCGUUGUCCGGAUUUACUGGGCGUAAAGGGAGCGUAGGCGGAUACUUAAGUGGGAUGUGAAAUACCCGGGCUCAACUUGGGUGCUGCAUUCCAAACUGGGUGUCUAGAGUGCAGGAGAGGAAAGUGGAAUUCCUAGUGUAGCGGUGAAAUGCGUAGAGAUUAGGAAGAACACCAGUGGCGAAGGCGACUUACUGGACCGUAACUGACGCUGAGGCAUGAAAGCGUGGGGAGCAAAC